GCCAGUGUGGCAUAGUGGUUUGAGUGCUGGACUAUGACCCUGGAGAGCAGUGUUCAAUUCUCAGCUUGGCCA
Non-coding RNA from Phrynosoma platyrhinos (Desert horned lizard), 72 nucleotides. The record is from the annotation of a GenBank genome assembly. Lineage: Eukaryota; Metazoa; Chordata; Lepidosauria; Squamata; Phrynosomatidae.